Molecule: ribosomal RNA, 217 nt
Filed under: Alectoris chukar (chukar partridge)
Lineage: Eukaryota; Metazoa; Chordata; Aves; Galliformes; Phasianidae
Description: partial 16S ribosomal RNA
Source: RNAcentral
UGUGGAACUUUAAAAUAACAACCACCUUCCCACCAGCCUUUCCCCCAAAAGGGCCCACCUAUGUAAAUCAUCUGGUUGACAUUUUUCGGUUGGGGCGACCUUGGAGAAAAACAAAUCCUCCAAACCCAUAGACCACACCUCUUUACCAAGAACCACCCCUCAAAGUACUAAUAGUAAUUAGACCCAAUACAAUUGACCAAUGGACCAAGCUACCCCA